This 253-nucleotide ribosomal RNA is filed under the name uncultured bacterium. Its description in RNAcentral is "partial 16S ribosomal RNA". It matches the Rfam family "Bacterial small subunit ribosomal RNA", at positions 524 to 776 of the family's 1533-position model. The record is from RNAcentral.
UACGGAAGGUGCAAGCGUUAAUCGGAAUUACUGGGCGUAAAGCGCGCGUAGGCGGUUAGAUAAGUCGGGUGUGAAAGCCCUGGGCUCAACCUGGGAACUGCAUUCGAUACUGUCUGACUAGAGUGUGAUAGAGGGAGGCGGAAUUCCACAUGUAGCGGUGAAAUGCGUAGAGAUGUGGAGGAACACCAAUGGCGAAGGCAGCCUUCUGGAUCAACACUGACGCUGAGGUGCGAAAGCGUGGGGAGCAAACAGG